AAAAAAAAAAAAGAAACACUCCAACACUCACACAACCUGUGAGAAUCGGCAAGAGUUAUUUAUUGCCGGGACAUCUUGCAGGUAAGCCUGCAGGAUGUCCGUGGUGUUUGGUGGCUCCAAGAUAAUGCUUGCGAUGGAGCCUGAGCAACAAGUAGGGGGCUCGCCGGGUACUCCUGUGGUGCUGUUGGUGCUCUUGGAUGGCAGAGCACAAAGACAUGCCGCAGUAGCCCCAGCUCUGUUCUGGAAGAGGUGGAUCCACUUCCAUCUGUUCCUCCACAUCUGGUGAAUCCAGCUCCAUGGGCUCCACAGUGUUGGGCAGAAGUCUAAGCCAAUCCUUGCCUGGGACUGCCCAAACGGGAUGCCUUCCGUCUGGAAUGUUUUCAGACCAGGGUGCUGAACCAGGGGCUCGUCCAGUUCCACGCCUCAGUCCCAUGCCACUGUCGGCUUGAUUUUCAUGCAUGGGUCCAACGCUGCCCUCUGGUUUACUGCCAUUACUGGGUCCCACACUGUGCUCUGGACUAUGGGCACGCCUCUGCUCCCUGCGGCUGUCUGUCUGAUGCUCCCGGCUUCGCCCCACAUCACUGUUGCUCCUAUGCCAUUAUUCCUGGUUCCAUGGCUACACUCCCUGAAAGAGUCCCUCUCCAACUUUCUUCAAGGCUACUUUUAUAGGUAAGGUUAGGUGGCAAAAAUGUAGGACCUAGCAAAUUGCAACCUUAUCUACCUUGUUCCACACAUUCCACAUGAUGUUUUCCAGCUCAGGCUCUGGCCUCUGAUCAGUGUAACACAGAAUCAUUAAGGUUGGAAAAGACCUUCAAGAUCAUCUGGUCCAACCAUCACCCUACCACCCGCUAAACCAUGUCCCUACGCACCAGGUCCAACCUUUCCUUGAACACCCCCAGGGACAGUGAUGCCACCACUUCCCUGGGCAACCCGUUCCAACGCCUGACUGCUCUUUCUGAGAAGAAAUGUCUCCUACUUGUUUUAAUUGUUGCAGAGCAGUGCUUACACUGAGUCAAGUACUUUUCAGCUUCAGUGAGAAGGCUGGGGGUGCAGCAGGAGGUGGGAGGGGCAGAAGCAGGACAGCUGACCCCGACUGGCCUAAGGGAUAUUCUGUACCAUGCUGGACAAUUAAUGUGGGGUGGCUGACUGGGGGAUAGGAGGGGUACCGGCUGCUCAGGGAUAGGCUGGGCAUAUGCCUCUUUCUUCAUUUUCUACAUGACAACCACAGGCUCACCAAUUCUUCUCUGGCAGUUCUUCACUCUUCCUUCUAAUUGGGUUCUGCUGUGCCAUGCUCACACGUCACUUUGACAGCUCUGCACGUGGUGUUUUCCCAUGCUGCACCUUAAUCCAGGGCAUGGCACUGCAUCUGCCAGCUGUGGGAAUGGCAAAAGCAGUGAUUCACUAGCACCUAACAUAAUCACUCUUGGGCCAGAACUAGGAAGCUGCUGGGUAAUUAUCAUGAGUUAAGGAACAAUUUCUGUAAUAGCAACUGCUACUGUAACUGGACUUCCUUAGUACCCUGUCUCAGGCUAAGGGCUAAACAGCUGUUGGACAAAGGAAAAAACUUUCAUUUCUAGUUUAGUUUAGUUAUAUGGGAGGUUACAGCAUAUCCAUCUAAGAAAACAAUUUAACAAAGCUAGUCCUUUUUUUUUUUUUUUUUUUUUUUGACAGAG
This 1673-nucleotide long non-coding RNA is filed under the name Anser brachyrhynchus (Pink-footed goose). Its description in RNAcentral is "lncRNA (ENSABRG00000013297.1)". The record is from RNAcentral. Lineage: Eukaryota; Metazoa; Chordata; Aves; Anseriformes; Anatidae.